UAAUGAAGAUGGUAAUCAAGAUAUUUUCAGACCAAAACUUAUAAAAAAAAUUUUUUUCUUCCUGUAGGCACGCAUUACUAGAAGUAACACUGAAGAUUUUUUUUUUUUUCCGGUGAUGGGAAAAUGAAAUCAGAUGGAACCCAGGAGAUGCGGGAAAGAAUAAAGAGCAACUAAAAAAGACAGAGGAAUACACGCUUUUUUCUAAAGACAGAAGAUUAUCUAUUAAAGCUGAGACCAUUGUGUUUCUACCUUGAGGCAUGAAACAACAGAAUAAUAUAGACCAAGACCUGGAAUUUUCAGUGACUUAUUCGAGGUUAUUCAGCCAAGUCCAUGACCAUCGUCAAGGAGGAAGAUGUCUUCAAGAGAACAAAAACAAGCCACCACACUAAAGUACAAGCAAGAGAUGAGGAAAGACAUAGAAGAGUGCUGGUGGUAAUAUUUUAAGUAUUUACAGUU
Long non-coding RNA from Mustela lutreola (European mink), 456 nucleotides. RefSeq lists it as uncharacterized. The transcript is spliced from 4 exons. NCBI's taxonomy places the organism in Eukaryota, Metazoa, Chordata, Mammalia, Carnivora, Mustelidae. The record is from RefSeq and is a predicted model, not a curated record.